Molecule: long non-coding RNA, 100 nt
Organism: Bufo bufo (common toad)
Lineage: Eukaryota; Metazoa; Chordata; Amphibia; Anura; Bufonidae
Exons: 4
Source: RefSeq, a predicted model, not a curated record
GACCCCCAGAUUGGAAACAUUACCAUUUCUGAUCACUCUCCAAUUUUCUGUUCCUUCCACCCACAACCUGGAUCUGCUGGAGGGAGGUCUAAAUCUUUGC